This 253-nucleotide ribosomal RNA is filed under the name uncultured bacterium. RNAcentral describes it as "partial 16S ribosomal RNA". It matches the Rfam family "Bacterial small subunit ribosomal RNA", at positions 524 to 776 of the family's 1533-position model. The record is from RNAcentral.
UACGGGGGGGGCAAGCGUUGUUCGGAAGUACUGGGCGUAAAGGGCUCGUAGGUGGCCAACUAAGUCAGACGUGAAAUCCCUCGGCUUAACCGGGGAACUGCGUCUGAUACUGGAUGGCUUGAGUUUGGGAGAGGGAUGCGGAAUUCCAGGUGUAGCGGUGAAAUGCGUAGAUAUCUGGAGGAACACCGGUGGCGAAGGCGGCAUCCUGGACCAACACUGACACUGAGGAGCGAAAGCCAGGGGAGCAAACGGG